CAAUUGGGGAGAACAUCCGAUGGGUCUUGCCAGGAAGCUAAUCCUGAAGACGGAUGCAGUACCAUCAUUGACACUUCUCACCAGGAUAUGUGAAACAGUGCAAAGACUGCGUGGUCAAGCUGACGUCUGCAUUGGCCAUGCUGUAUGUAUCUUGAUACGGACACUGCAGAAGUCACGGCAUUUAUAGUUUUUGCUCUUCGUGGAGCAGCGCAGAGCAGUUGUCAAGGAAGUGAGUUUGUUUGUACAGGACCUCCCACCCCCACCUAUUGUCAACCAAUCAUGUCAAUGCGGAGCUAUACGGAGCCUUCCGCAUUGUUACAACAUUUGGGAGGCGCACAGCGCCCGCAAAAGGAGUUUCCCAGGCAACCACCGGCAGCAGAAAUGCUGUGAUACAAAAUCAGCUUUCCCUUGGGGAUAUGCUGUGAAGCCUGUGAAGACAGACCAAAGGGGGAUUUGCUGUGAAGACAGACACAACAUACUGCAAUGGGGAUGACUGAAGCAAAAGUGGGUGACUGAAGCCUGCUGAAGCCUGCCUCCCCAUCAAUCUCUGUAGUUGGUUGCAUUUCCUAAAGCUUAAGUAAUUCAUGUGAUAUGCCAUUUUGUCACUUUUUAUAUAUAUUUUUGUAUUUGGAUGGGAAAUUAGUUUGACAAAUUGUAUGCACAGUGUGGGCCAGGUGCCUAUAUUAGGCUUACUGCUCUAAUAUAUAUUUUUUAUGUCAUGUUUCACUGUUAUUUCUCAAUAUUUUGACUAUGCUGGCCUAUUUUUAAAUGAUCAAAUACAUGUCUGAUCAACACAUACAAUUCUGAACAUAGUCAUAAUGCCAAUGCAGAGUCACCAAUCAUGGGCCAUGAUGAUGUUAUAUGUCCUCGUCAGAGCUGUCCAAGCACACACGAAGACAGCGUAACAAGACAGAGGUGGAAAAAAACUAAGUAGCUGCAAAGAGCCAAGUUUGUUCAUCAAUCACAUUUUUAUUUGUCACGUGUUAUAAACGAGAACUUCACUCUUCAACUCUCAUCUUAUCCCUUAUCUAUAUUAAUAGACUCGAUAUGUGGAUAAAUCCCAAGCUUGUCCAUGCUUAAAGGCAAAUGUAUUAAUCUAAUGUAAUAUAAGGCAAGUUAAGAAACAUCUGUAUGAAACAUCUGUAGUCUUUUUUCAUAAAACAAGCGUAAUGUAAAGAGUGAUUUAAAAUGGGCGAUCUGAACUUAAAAUUGGAGAAUGCUCUAGCCUUAUGAUUAGAAAACAUUUUGUAGGAAAACUUCAUGCUUUUCCAUCAUGAUAUAAAACAAGACAAUAUUUUGUCAUUUUGAACGUUGUGAUAAUCUCUGUUUAAACAGUGCAUUGCAUUUUGUCCUAAAAUA
Long non-coding RNA from Oncorhynchus kisutch (coho salmon), 1359 nucleotides. RefSeq lists it as uncharacterized. Lineage: Eukaryota; Metazoa; Chordata; Actinopteri; Salmoniformes; Salmonidae. The record is from RefSeq and is a predicted model, not a curated record. The transcript is spliced from 4 exons.